RNAcentral lists this ribosomal RNA (440 nucleotides) under uncultured bacterium. RNAcentral's name for it is "partial 16S ribosomal RNA". It matches the Rfam family "Bacterial small subunit ribosomal RNA", at positions 338 to 795 of the family's 1533-position model. The record is from RNAcentral.
CCUACGGGAGGCAGCAGUGGGGAAUAUUGCACAAUGGGGGAAACCCUGAUGCAGCGACGCCGCGUGAGUGAGGAAGUAUUUCGGUAUGUAAAGCUCUAUCAGCAGGGAAGAAAAUGACGGUACCUGACUAAGAAGCCCCGGCUAACUACGUGCCAGCAGCCGCGGUAAUACGUAGGGGGCAAGCGUUAUCCGGAUUUACUGGGUGUAAAGGGAGCGUAGACGGUUAAUCAAGUCAGAAGUGAAAACCCAGGGCUCAACCUUGGGACUGCUUUUGAAACUGAGGAGCUGGAGUGCAGGAGAGGUAAGCGGAAUUCCUAGUGUAGCGGUGAAAUGCGUAGAUAUUAAGAGGAACACCAGUGGCGAAGGCGGCUUACUGGACUGUAACUGACGUUGAGGCGCGAAAGCGUGGGGAGCAAACAGGAUUAGAUACCCGGGUAGUC